CCCUUAGAUGUCCUGGGCCGCACGCGUGCUACACUGACAUAUACAACGAGUAACUCCAGCUCCGUGAGGCAGCUGGUAAUCAGUAAUAUAUGUCGUGAUGGGGAUAGAUCUUUGGAAUUUUUGAUCUUGAACGAGGAAUGCCUAGUAAGCGCAAGUCAUCAGCUUGCGUUGAUUAAGUCCCUGCCCUUUGUACACACCGCCCGUCGCUCCUACCGAUUUCGAGUGGUCCGGUGAACUAUUUGGACCGAAGACAACUUCGUGUAGUCAUUGGAAAAUCUCGUAAACCACAUCACUUAGAGGAAGGAGAAGUCGUAACA
This 317-nucleotide ribosomal RNA is filed under the name uncultured eukaryote. RNAcentral describes it as "partial 18S ribosomal RNA". It matches the Rfam family "Eukaryotic small subunit ribosomal RNA", at positions 1470 to 1796 of the family's 1831-position model. The record is from RNAcentral.